UACGGGGGGGGCAAGCGUUGUCCGGAAUUAUUGGGCGUAAAGAGCUCGUAGGCGGUUCGUCACGUCGGCUGUGAAAUCCCGAGGCUCAACCUCGGGUCUGCAGUCGAUACGGGCGGACUUGAGUACUGCAGGGGAGACUGGAAUUCCUGGUGUAGCGGUGAAAUGCGCAGAUAUCAGGAGGAACACCGGUGGCGAAGGCGGGUCUCUGGGCAACAACUGACGCUGAGGAGCGAAAGCGUGGGGAGCGAACAGG
RNAcentral lists this ribosomal RNA (253 nucleotides) under uncultured bacterium. Its description in RNAcentral is "partial 16S ribosomal RNA". It matches the Rfam family "Bacterial small subunit ribosomal RNA", at positions 524 to 776 of the family's 1533-position model. The record is from RNAcentral.